GCACCUCUCAGCAACCCAGUGGACUCUGCUGAGUGGUCAGAUUGGGUAUCAGAUGGUGCUAGAACGACUCACUGUGUAUCCAGAUGGACCUCCCCCCUCUGUGGAGCCUGUCUCUACAACUUUGAAACAUUA
RNAcentral lists this small nucleolar RNA (132 nucleotides) under Tetraodon nigroviridis (spotted green pufferfish). Its description in RNAcentral is "Small nucleolar RNA SNORA55 (ENSTNIG00000020572.1)". The record is from RNAcentral. Lineage: Eukaryota; Metazoa; Chordata; Actinopteri; Tetraodontiformes; Tetraodontidae.